Molecule: transfer RNA, 82 nt
Filed under: Sphaerophysa salsula (alkali swainsonpea)
Lineage: Eukaryota; Viridiplantae; Streptophyta; Magnoliopsida; Fabales; Fabaceae
Description: tRNA-Ala
Rfam family: tRNA
About the family: Transfer RNA (tRNA) molecules are approximately 80 nucleotides in length. Their secondary structure includes four short double-helical elements and three loops (D, anti-codon, and T loops).
Source: RNAcentral
GGGGAUAUAGCUCAGUUGGUAGAGCUCCAGGCGGUGAUUUACCCUGUGGCGGAUGUCAGCGGUUCGAGUCCGCUUAUCUCCA